GUUAAAAAAUAUAUUUUGUUUUAAAGGUUUAAGCAAGUUUUAAAAUGUUAAUUGUAAAGGAAAUUCUGUGUGUAAACAUAUUGGCUAAAGCUAAAGGGGUAUCAUGCAGUUUUUCUGUGAACUGGAUGUUAAAAGCACAAUAGAUUUUUCUUAAAGCACUAACCCGCUCUUUAACAAAAAUUAUAAAAGCUUAAAAAGAGUCUAUAAAAAUCUUACCCUAUAGUCAGACAUUAAAAUUGAAUAAAUAAUGUCUACAAGAUUUUAUUAAGUUUGGCCGGGCACGGUGGCUCACGCCUGUAAUCCCAGC
Molecule: long non-coding RNA, 307 nt
Filed under: Homo sapiens (human)
Lineage: Eukaryota; Metazoa; Chordata; Mammalia; Primates; Hominidae
Description: HSALNT0145197
Source: RNAcentral